GCGCUGGUAGCUCAGCUGGAUAGAGUGACUGGCUACGAACCAGUAGGUCGGGGGUUCGAGUCCCUUCCAGCGCG
RNAcentral lists this transfer RNA (74 nucleotides) under Clostridium sp. CAG:964. It matches the Rfam family "tRNA". Rfam says of the family: Transfer RNA (tRNA) molecules are approximately 80 nucleotides in length. The record is from Rfam by way of RNAcentral. Lineage: Bacteria; Bacillati; Bacillota; Clostridia; Eubacteriales; Clostridiaceae.